This 421-nucleotide ribosomal RNA is filed under the name uncultured bacterium. RNAcentral describes it as "bacterial SSU rRNA". It matches the Rfam family "Bacterial small subunit ribosomal RNA", at positions 355 to 773 of the family's 1533-position model. The record is from RNAcentral.
UAAGGAAUAUUGGUCAAUGGACGCAAGUCUGAACCAGCCAUGCCGCGUGGAGGAUGAAGGUCCUCUGGAUUGUAAACUUCUUUUAUCGGAGAAGAAACCCCAACAUUCCUGUUGGGUUGACGGUACCCGAUGAAUAAGCACCGGCUAACUCCGUGCCAGCAGCCGCGGUAAUAAGGAGGGUGCAAGCGUUAUCCGGAUUCACUGGGUUUAAAGGGAGCGUAGGUGGGAUGGUAAGUCAGUGGUGACAUCUCCGGGCUUAACCCGGAAACUGCCGUUGAUACUAUCAUUCUUGAAUAUUGUGGAGGUAAGCGGAAUAUGUCAUGUAGCGGUGAAAUGCUUAGAUAUGACAUAGAACACCGAUAGCGAAGGCAGCUUGCUACACAAUUAUUGACACUGAGGCUCGAAAGCGUGGGGAUCAAAC